Molecule: long non-coding RNA, 13935 nt
Filed under: Gossypium barbadense (sea-island cotton)
Lineage: Eukaryota; Viridiplantae; Streptophyta; Magnoliopsida; Malvales; Malvaceae
Description: long non-coding RNA (GBAR_LNC014070)
Source: RNAcentral
AGGCACGAUAAUUAAAAUCAAAGAUGAAUGCUUUUGUCCAAGACUUUGUUGCUACAAAUUUAAGUCAUCAUGUUCGUGACGUUGACAAAUACGGGAAUGCAAUUCACUGGACCAAUCUUGGAAUAGUGAAAGCCCAUGAAUUAGUGGAUUAAUCUUUUAUGUAUCUUAUUAUUAUUAUUUACUUAAUUCUCAUUGGUUGGGACACAUCACUUAUAAGUUAAGUAAUUUUAUUGGUUAGGUUAUUAUUUAUUUAUUUUCUUAGAUAAUUUUAAAUAGUUUUAUUAGGAUUCAAUUACUCUUGAAAGAGUUUUAUUAGGAUUCAAUUACUCUUGUAAUUUGCCUAUAAAUAGGCUUACUUUCUACACAUUGGGGGGAAUAAAAAAAAUAGAGUAUUUGUUUUCUUCCAAAUUUGUGUGAGGUAAAUUUUUUAGAGUAGAGUGAUUCUUCUCUUGCUAUUUAGUUUGGAGUUUGUUACUUUCGAGGAUAUUUCGGAGUUACAAAUAUUAAAGUUUCUUUCUCGUUCGUCGAUGUUUCUAGAGGUUCUUCUUCUAGGGGUUUCAUAGGGAGCCGCUCAAUCAUUGGCGUUUUUGGUUACAAGUUAACCAAGGGUUCCAUAGGGCAAAUCUAUCGUUAUUAUUAUUAUUUAACUAAUUUUAUUUAUUCUCAUUUUAUUUCUAAUUUGUGUUUCUCUUGUGUCUAGAUCCGGGAUUUCCGCAUCAAUUGGUAUCAGUAUCAGGUCAUUCAGUGUUAUUUUUGAAGCUAAAAUCAUAUCCGAAAUGAGUCAAAAUACCAAAAACACUUCUCAUUGGUUUUGUCGAUUUUUUUCUCCUCUUAUUCUUAAAAAAAAGAAGCAAAAAGCGCAAAAAAACCGCAAAAAAAAGUUGCCUACCUUUCAUACGUAGGUUUCUUCUUUUCCUAUUAUUGUUAUUAUUUUUAUUUUAUUUUUCCCAAAAUUAAAUUUCUUUUCCUUCUUCUUCUCUUGACUCAAGUAUAAUUAAAGCUUCAAUUUUUGAAAAUCUUAAGACACCAAAUGUUUCCGAAUUUUGUUUUGUUUUUUUUUAAAUUGGGUAGAGUUUUCUUAAGUGUUCUUCUUAUUAAAGCUUUUAUUUGACUCUAGAGUUAGGGAUCGUUGCAGGUCUAUGUUUUUUUUGUUUCUCUUACGCUUUCUAACACUUUGUUUCUUCUUGUGUUAGCAGAUAUUAAAGGCACGCACAAUUCCUUCAUCCGUGUAGCCUCCAUUACAAAUUGCCUCAUCAAGUUUAUUGGCCUCUUAGAGCAAUUAGGGUCUUCAUUGUUUCUUUGAAGUUUGCACCUCUGUUAUUUGAUCUUGAUUAGUAACCCUCUCCAAACAUAUUUACAAGUUUUGAAUCAUUCAGAGAGUUAUUCUUUUGAGAGCUAAUGAGUGAGGUUAUUAUUAUUUUUUCUUUCUUGUUCCUGUUUGUUUGAUCUUUCACAGAUAGCAUGCCACUCACUAGAUCCCAAACUAGUAAAAAUGAAGAGGAUGAGCAAAAAAGAGAGAACGAUCCUUUGGUCGAGUUGUUACAAAAAGAGAUGAAAAAGUUGCAAACUCAAUUCGAACAUCGCAUGACCCAGAUGUUACAAGAGCAAAGGGAGUAUCUUGAUACAAAACUUACAACUCAAGAGAGAUACAUUGCCGAUAAUUACAAGAAGUUGAACGAAGCCUUUAUAAGCCGAUCAAAUUUAGAAGAUCGAACUUUUAAACGAAAGGAGGACCAUGUUUUUGAUGAUAACUUUGAGUCCGAGUAUGUACCUAGAGAAAGAUUGGAACGAAACAAUGACACCCCAAACCAAAAUUUCCUUCUUUCUCAGGGAAGAAUGAUCCUGAUGUUUACCUUGAUUGGGAGGAAAAGAUGGAAGCAGUCUUUGCUUGUUACAAUUACUCUGAUGAGAAAAAGGUAACAUACGCUGUCGCUGAGUUCAUUAAUUAUGCACUAACAUGGUGGAAUCAAUUAUGUAAAAGCAGGAUUCUUUAUAGAGAGCAACCUGUUACUACUUGGGUUGAAAUGAAGCGCAUCUUGCAAAAACGGUUUGUUCCACCAUACUAUUAUCGAGAACUCCAUCAAAGACUCCAACAUCUUGUUCAAAGAGAUAGAUCUGUGGAUGACUACUACAAAGAGAUGGAGACUAUUCAGAUUAGAGCCAAUCUUGUUGAAGAGGCUGAGGUGACUAUGGCUAGAUUUCUUGUCGGCCUAAAGCCUGAGAUUGCAAAUCGAGUUGAGUUACAACACUACAUGGAUGUUGAAAAGAUGCUUCAAACCGCACUUACCAUUGAAAAGCAAUUACAAAAGAAAGGGACAACGAGGGGUGUUAGUUCAGUUUCUAAUCUUGCUUAGAGAGGAAAUUGGCAAAAACAAGAUGAUAGAUUGUGGAAUGGGAGAAAUGCACAGUUCAAGCCAAAUGAUCCUAGAACUUACUCCAAAGAUAGAGGUAUGUCUAAUUCACUUAAAGGUUCUACUUCUACUAAUUGAGCUCCAUCUUCUUCUUCUACUUCUCCUAGUGCCAUUAAGCAGCCAAAAGAUAUUACCUGCUUCAAAUGCCAAGGAAGGGGUCACUAUGCUCGAGAAUGCCAUAAUAAAAAGUCAUUGGUGAUUCGAGAAGAUGGCGAGGUUGAUUUUGAGUCUGAUAACAAAGAUGAGAUGCCUCAUUUGGAAGAUCUUGAUGAUGUGCAUACUCAUUAUGAGUAUGAAGAAUACUUGGAGCAUGGUGAGAAAGCACUUGUUGCUCGAAGGGCUUUAAAUGUCCAGUUUAAAGAGGAAGGGCGUGAACAAAGAGAUAACAUUUUCCACACUAGAUGUUUGAUUAGUGGACAACCUAGUUCAUUGAUCAUCGAUAGUGGAAGUUGCACCAAUGUGGUAAGUUCUUCCCUUGUUGAGAAACUUGGCCUACCUUGUGUGAAGCAUCCAAGGCCAUACCGCUUGCAAUGGCUGAAUGAUAGUGGGGAGGUAAAAGUAUCUAAACAAUGCUUAGUUUCAUUUUCCAUUGGCAGAUACUCUGAUAAAGUUUUGUGUAAUGUUGUUCCAAUGCAAGCUGGGCACAUAUUACUUGGACGGCCAUGGCAGUUUAAUCGACGAGUAAAUCAUGAUGGUUUCCUUAACUAAUAUACCUUUGUGUUCCUUGGAAAGAAGUUUACUUUGGCUCCACUUCCUCCUCAAGAAGUCUACAAUGAUCAACUCAAACUUGCUAGUGAGAUGGGUAAGGGAAGUGAGGUAAAAUCAUUGAAAAAGGCUGAGAGUAAAGAGGCCCUUAGUGUUAAAAGCCAACUUAAAGGCCCAACAUUGAUGAGUGAUUACACACACAAGUCACGAGAUAAGAAAGUGAGUUUAUUCGCUAGGUUUCGAGAUAUUAAAUUUGCUCUUUGUACAAAAUAAACAUUUGUAAUUAUUAGGUUUAGGGAAAACUUUGUUUUGACUAACCCUAAUACACAUUUGCCUAGUUGUUUUGUUGAUCUUUUACAGGAUUUUGAGGAUGUAUUUCCUUUUGAAAUGCCUAAGGGAUUACCUCCUUUACGAGGGAUUGAACAUCAAAUUGACUUUGUGCCUGGUUCGAGUAUUCCGAAUAGACCAGUCUAUCGAAGCAAUCCUGAAGAAAUUAAGGAGUUGUAAAGGCAAGUUGAAGAUCUCUUAGAGAAUGGGUUGAUUCGUGAGAGUCUAAGCCCUUGUGCGGUCCAUGUACUUCUCGUCCCAAAAAAAGAUGGUUCUUGGAGAAUGUGUGUUGAUUUUUGUGCUGUCAACAAGUUUACGGUAAAGUAUCGAUAUCCAAUUCCUCGAUUAGAUGAUAUGUUGGAUGAGCUGAAUGGUGCAUACAUUUUCUCUAAAAUUGACUUAAAAAGUGGUUACCAUCAAAUAAGAAUGAAACAAUGUAAUGAAUGGAAAACUGCUUUUAAAACUAAGGGCUAGUUUGGAUGGGUGGUGUGUUUACCUCCGGUGAGGUUAAAAACAGCGGUGGCGGUGAGAUUAGUUACUGUAGCGAUGAGAUUGGAUACUGUAGCGGUGAGAUUAGAAACAAUGGUGGAGUGUGUGUUUGGAUUCAAACGCAGCUGUAGCGGUGAGGUGAGAAUAAGAAAUGACUAUUAAGGACAUCAGAUUAGAAUUGAUAUAUAAUAUAAGUUUUUUAAAUUAUUUUACUUUUUUAAAAUUAUUAAAAUAUGUGAAUUUAUAAAUUUAUUUAAUAAAAUAUUAAAAUGUAUCUUCCAAUAUUUUAAUGAAUUAUAUAAUUAAUUUAAAUUAUUUAUUAGAUAAAAUGAUAAUUAUUUUUAAUUUUUUAUAGUUAAAUAGUUUUUUUAUAACAAUAAUAAAUAUUAUUUUCACAAAUAGUAACAUUAUACUUGGAUAAAAUUUUGAAGUAUCGAAAAGGAUGAUUUUUAAUAAAAAAAAUAUAAUAACAUAAGACAUAACAAGUUUCAUUAUUACUAGAAAUUAGGUUAUGAUACAAAAUGUUUUUACAAAUAUGGAUUCAUUAAACUAGUUGCAAUGGUUUCCCUUAACAUUGUGAUUUCAAGGUCACUUUCUCUGAUAGAAGAACUCGAUUCACCUCUGUCAAACUGGCUUGAAGAGACUGGCAUAUCGGGUAUAUUCUCAAAUUCUCAAAAAUCCUCAUCAUUUGACCAAGCAUGUCUUCGAAUGUAAUUAUACAAAACCAUUGUUGCAAUAACUAUUAAAACUUGCUUGUUGAAUGAAUAACUUGGAAUAUCUCUUAAUAUUGGCCAUUUUUUUUUCGCACUCCAAAUGUUCGUUCAAUCACAGAGCGUAACGAAGAAUAGGCAUGGUUAAAGAUUUCUUUUUUUCCAGAUACUUGAUGAUUACCUCGACGAAAAUCAGGUAAAUGAUAUCAUUCCCCCCUAUAUGGACCUAGAAAACCUGUCAUUUGUGGAUAUCCUGAAUCCACAAGAUAAUAUUUUCCUACAAAAAAGUAAAACAUAAUAUCAAGUUUAAAAAUAAUUUAAAAAUUUUAAUAUUUUUUAUGUAAAAAAGUAAUUAAAAAUUUAAAGUUCAACCUGGUGGAGGGUGUGGAAACUUCAACUCUUGUUUUCUGAGUGCUUGCAAAAAAAUUCUACUAUCAUGUGCUGUUCCUUCCCAACCAGGAAAUGCAAAAAUAAAGCACAUGUUGAAGUCACAGACUGCCAUAAUAUUUUGAGUUGGUUCACCUUUUCGUCCAAUAUAAGGUAUUUGACAGGAAGGCGAAAUGCAUGCUUUUAUGUGUGUCCCAUCUAUGGCCCCAAUAAAGUCUUUUAAAAUAAAUACAAGUAAUAAGAUAAAAGUUAGAAAUAAUUUAUAUUUUAAAAAUAUAAAGAUUGUGUAAAUAUUACCUUAAAGUGAGGCCAAUAUCUUGUAUCAUGUCGAAUAUGGUUCGGUACUUCCUCGAAUUGACCUUCAGUGGGUUUAAUCGUGUCUAUUCCCAUUCGAGCAAAUAUAUGCAACAUAUCAAUAAAAAUUCGACUAACAGUUUCCUCAGAUCGUUGAAAUCGCUCUGUUGCAUUUGAAUUUGAUUCUCUAUUUCCAAGAAUGUACAAUGAUAAUGCUAACUUCUCCAUCGCCGAUACUUUCCCAUUCUUUAAGCCAUAAUUUGUUUGCAAAUCAUGCAACAAGAUGUGAAAUAUAUCUUUUGGCAUCCUAAAACUAUUCAUGCAACGAUCAUCAUGCCCAUUUAAUACUUCGUCCACCCACAUUUGACCUGUAUAAUUUGAAUCCAUAUGCGGUUGCAUAGUGAAAUAAGUUUCAUGGUGUACCAAUACACUGCUUAACACAUAUUCUUCCUCUUCAUGAUAAUUGUUGUUCUCAACUUGGGUAACAAUUGUGGCUAUUCUUCGUUGAGCUUCUUCACUUAAUUCAGGGGUAUCAUAAUUCAUAUAAAAACUAUUAUACAUAUUGUUAAAUUCAUCCAUAACCUGAAAAAGUAAUCAAAUGAAAAUAAAUCCUUUAAAAUCUCGUGACAUUCUAUACAACACAGAAACUUGAUUAAAAGUAUAGCAUAAAAAUACCAAACAUAAAAAGUAUCAUACAUUAGUUUUACAUAUAAAAAAGUAGUAUAGUUAUAUUACAAUAAUAAUUCUAAGGAGCUUAUGGUGGAGGUGGUUGAUGGUAUGGUUGGAACGGAAAUGAGGAUGUUGCUGCCAUGGAUGAAAAUGAUGCAAUUGGAUUUUGUUCAUCAUACUCACGUCGAAGCCACCAAACCCUAUCAUCUGGAUCUAAGUUCAAAAACAAUUCUCGUUUCACCGGUAUUUGGAACAUUUUGGUGGCAAAAUAGUACAGUUCAUCUUUUUUUGGAAUUUCAUCUCCCAAAGCACGCAAAACAUCCAUUGCAUUUGAAAUAGUAUAUUGAGAGUGAGGAAAAAUAAUUUCAUUCACUGACUCCUUAGACUAGCCACACUCUCACACAAUUUCUCAAUCUGAUUAGUUAAUGUAUUUCUUGAUGAUUUUCUACUUGAACUUGAUUUUUUUCCUUUACCGUGUACAGCCCCAAGUGUUUGCUUUCUUCGAUUAGGAAUUUCAUGAGAAGGGUUUGAUGGUACCUCAUCAGGAGGAAUACAUUCAUUCUCAUUACUAUGUUCAUCUGAAUCACCAAAUCCCUUAUUAGGUGCAUCAUCUCCCAUAGGAACCCCACUCGGAAGAACACCAGACGAAGGUGCCCAUGCGUUCUCUCCGGUGGCUACAAUGCCACCAAACAUUUGCCACAUUAACUCAUUCAAUCGUGGCUCAAUUCCUUUCUUCUUAAAUCCUUUAAAAUCAGGAUUUUCCUACAUAACAUGCUAAAUAUUAAAUGUUAUACUAAGAUUUUUAUAAUUGUAAAUUAUUAAUUUCAAUAAACUUUAUGCAUUAAAAUAAUGAUAAAGUGAACACUAACCUGUAUUUUUGCUGCCCACCAUUCUUCGGUAGCAUCGACCGUCUUUUUAGUUGGACACUAUCCAAUACCUGUAGAUUCCUUAAGCAACUCCCUCCAUAACCUCCAUUCAUUUUUUAAUGUAUCCCACUUAUUUUUCAAUUGAGGUUUUUCAUAAUUUUUUUGUGUUUUUGCUUGAAAAGAGCAAUGACAUUUUCCCAUCCUUUUGAGUUUAGAUGAGUUGUCGGCCUAUUACCAGCAUUGACUUCAUUCACGCAAAGUUCACAAAAUAUCAACGUCAGCUCAUCAUCCCAAAUAGCUUUUUUUGCUAAGCUACUAUCUCCCUCCACAAAAUUUCGUGUCUUUACCAUCUAUUGUCAUUGGUAUAAUUCAGUCAAUGUGCUAGCAUUCACAAAGAAGCAUAGAGCAAAUUUAUAGUCUAUAAGUUAUAUUAGACAUCUCCCAAUGCUAAUAUUUAUCCAGCCACACCCAAAAAAAGCUGGCACCUUAAUUGGAAGCUUCAACUUAACGGAAAAAGGAAAAGAAAAUAAUAAAUAAAGAAAGAAAUAAAAAGAAAAUCUACCAAUCAAAACAACCAACAAACUAGUGAAGGCAAAGCUUCGCUUGUUUAGUUAUAAUUUUGUUGAGCAAGGAAGCUUAGAUAAUCUUUAGUUUGUGCUUAUGAUACGUCGCUCUGCUUAUGCAUCCAAAAAAAUGGGUCAACCCAAUUCAACCAACCCGAUUUCCUGUUCUCCCUCCGAUCUCUUUCGCACCGGUACUUCUCUCUUUCUCUUCUUUCUUUAAUUCUAAAUUUUGUUGGACUUGGAUUCGGCUUUUGAUUUCUUUUUUCCUUUGACUUUUUUUUUGUUUGUUUCAAACUUUUUUCACUGUUUGUUAGAUUGUUAAAUCUUAAGGAUAGAUUUGGUGUGAAUGCAGUCUUCUUAAGGCAGUUAAAUCUUAAAACCCUGUUCAAAAUCAGGUCCAGUAUGAGAAGUUAAAAUUUCUGCAAAAUCACUGACCGUAAUUGAGAAAGAAUUCUGUCUUGUUAUCAGUAUGUGCUGCAUCUAUGGUAUAUCUACAUUUUUUUAGUUUAAUUAUCUGUUGAAAAUGACAUUUGAAUUUUAUCUUUAUAGGAGGAAUGGCGAAGAGGAUUAAAAGCACUGAGGGUUGAUACUGUAAGUAAAUUAAAGUAGGCCCUCCCUGAGCUAGAAAAAGAGGUAGAAAUUUCUGAACUGCUUGAUACCUGAGGUCAAUUGACUUGUUACAUAUGUAUGAUUAUUAUGGUGGAAAAGUCUGCAAAAGUGGUGAUGCUCUCUUUUCAUAUUAUAAAUAGUCAGGAGACCAUCAAACUUUGUGGAUUUCUAUUCCUAUUCAUUCUGCUAUUGCUUGACAGGUAUUAUAGUAAUAAUGUGGCAUGUUACUUAGAUGUUUACAUUUUGUCCCUUUUUCCUGGUUGGGCCCCUACUUACUUUCUCAAAUUUACUGCUGCAGAGGAGAAACAAAAGAGUAUAGAUAUAGAAAGCAUAUGUCAAUUGUUGGAUCUUGUUUUAGGAUCCCAAUUCCGUGCACAGGUUGACUAUUUUAUUGAGUAUUUGAAGAUGAGUUGUGACAAUUAUUGCAUUUGACCUCUGGGAUUGCAUCUGUUUAUACUUUAUUUUCUUCAUUUCCUUUAUGAUGUUGUUUAUACAGGCACAACUUUAUCUGUUAUUUUGGGGGAUGAGUUUAUUUCAGUUUUAGCUUCUACGAUUGUAUAAAUGUAUAUGGAUAUGUUAGAAAGUCUUUUAAGUCUGUUGUCAGAUUGGGGAACAUUGUUACAGAUGGACUCUUCAAAAGUUUCUUCAGAAAAUAGGAUUGAUCCUCUAAUUUAAAUGUUUAAUCUUUUAGAUCAAAAGGUGUAGAAAUGAAUCUAAAAACUCUAUAAACUAGAUUACAGAGUAAGUUGCCUGUUGUUAUUGUGAUGCUAUAAUUCUGAACUUACCCUUCUAUCCUAACCUCAAAAAAAGAGGAAGAGAAAAUAUGCCUCAUACCAUGCUUGUUUUCUUAAUGUAGAUUCAGAGCGAUUAUAAGGUCAUAAACUUGGAUCAAUGGAUGGGCUUUUUUCGAUUCUGCAAUAAGGUACAUCACAGUUUAUCCUUGUUAUGGAACUUUUUAUUCUGCUCCCCAUAUUUAGAUGCUCUACCAUAAAAAAUAGGGUCAGCAAAUAAUUCUUUGAAUGUCAUGUCAGGCUCAGACAGAUAUCACUUUAAUUAAAAAAAUAAGAAUUUUUCCUGGAAUAAACUUGUUGAAUUAUACUAAAAUCUUUUAGAUAACGUUCUUAGUUAUAUGAAGACAUAAUGUCAAUUGGUAGUGUGUGGCAGAAUCCCCUUGGCAUACUUAUAGACUAAUAUAAGAGAGAAGACCAAAGAGGGUUCCCUCUCAUCCUGCAGGUUGUGGCUAAAAUUAAAUCCUUUAUCAUGAGAGUUUUAUUUAUCACUUUUUCGUUCUUUUCAUUUUCUUUCAUCCAUUUUUUGUAAUUAUUAUUCAUUUAUUGAUAAAAGUACAUAUAUUUUGGGCUGAAACUGAUUUCUAAACUGCUUGGUUUACUUUUUCUUGCAAACAUGGAAAUCAAUACAGAGAAUAACUCUCUUUGGCAUAAAAAUUGAGACAAAAUAAAUGGUAGGAAACUGUUGAUCUUUACAGUUCAAUGUUAUAAAUGACGGGUUGUUGCAAAUUGCAGUUCAAUUAUACAUGCAUGCUUGUGAAAUAUUAUUUUGUUAGUUCUUGGUUGGUUGUUUACUUGAUUGAAUCAAUUUGAACUUUUAACAGCUUCCUAGAAUAGCCCUAAAUUUUGAAAUAUGAUCAAUGGUCUUUAGUGAUAUCAGAUUAUGAAAGAAAGCCAAAAAGUAAACUAAAACUAAGUUCGUAUUGAAUAUUUUUGACUAGCUGAAAGAAGUUUAGUCUGAAGCCAUUUUAUUUUGCAUUCAACAUGUCAGCAACUGAAUCAGCAUCCAUUCUUCUUGCUGCAAGUAGUGGGUAAAUAGCUAUCCAUGUGUCCAAUGCAUGUGAGAGGCAGGACACGUUGUAACAUGUACUGCCACCUUGCCCUACGUGUCUACCUCACAACUCAAAUAGAAUAAAAUUCAGCCUAUACAACUGCAUGGGAGCACUUAUGACUAAAAAGAAAUGCAUGACUUGGCCUAUAGCUUAAGUUUAGGCUAAGCCUUUCUCUAGAAUCUUGGGAACCUUAGAACCUUUCUAUACAAGCUUUUGUUGUUUCGUUUGUUUAGUUGUGCUUUGUUUUAUUUUUGAUAGUUUUAGUUUUUGAGGGUUUGAGACAUGAAUACAGCAUUGCCUGAGAUGUUACAAUGUUCGGACUUGACAGUGCUCGAGAGGCAAAGGGCUCGCUUGAAAUGGCAAGAGGAACAGUUUCAGCAACAACAAUAACAGCAAAGCUAUUUCAGUGAGUUAAGUUGUGGGGUGUUUUCGAGCCAAACCAACCACAGUUUAGCUGAGAGAGUGAGUAUGAAUUUGCAUGUUUUUUUUUGUUGUUGGCGUGUUACUCGGUAAUAUGGAUGGUAUUAUUACUAAUUUGUUUUCUUAUUUUAUCAGGUCUCUUUCAUUAGAUAAUAAUGUUUUAAUUAUGUUGAUUUAUAUAGGUUAGAAGGGAGAAAAUCAGUGAAAGAAUGAAGUAUCUGCAAGAUUUAUACCAGGAUGUAACAAAAUCACAGGCAAAGCUGGUAUGCUUGAUGAGAUCAUCAAUUAUGUUCAAUCUCUUUAACGGCAAGUAGAGGUAAAAAAAAUAAUGGAGAAAGAACAUAUGGAUUUGUGUAUGAACACAAAAAUUCUUUUUCAUUUCUACUAAUUACUUAACUGCUUUAAGAUUUUUGUCCUCCAUGUGAGGACAUAUUUAUUUGUUGUUAUUUUCUUAGCUAAGAACAAGAUGAUAAGGAAAAACAGAAACAACUUUGAUACAAUUCAAACACAUAAAUAGAGUAGAAAAAGAAGGGCUUUGACUUACCAGAUCAAAGUUGAUAACAAGAUUGAUAGUAUGAGUCGAAAAAUAGAGCUUCUUUGAGUCUGCUGUGAGUGUCAAUUGAAGAGCAGGGGUUGAAGAGCAGAAAACGAGCAAAGUUUUCUACAAAUUGGGAAAGAAAUUAAUUUAAUUUUCAAGGAUAAAAUGGUAAAAUAAUAAAUAAAAGUAAGGGUGUUUUUGUCUGUUACAGUGCCAACAGCUCAGUUAAUUCAUCCACUGCUACUAUUUUCUCUAGCUGAAAAUCAGCUGAUCAGUGUGGUUGAAAAGAAACCCCACUGCAUUGACACUUGAAACCAAACAACACAGCCAUGAGUUUGGCACCAUCUUUUCCUUCAAAACGUGCCUCACUGCCUCAAUCCAAAUGAGCCCUAAGUAUGGCCUGUAUGAGUGGUUAGUCAUGCCAUUUGGCUUAACUAAUGCUCCUAGCACAUUCAUGAGAUUAAUGAACCACAUACUUAGACCUUUUUUAGGAAAAUUUGUCGUUGUGUAUUUUGAUGACAUACUGAUUUAUAGCAAAACUUUGAAUGAUCAUGUUGGGCAUGUUAAAUUAGUAUUGGAUGUGUUAAGGCAUGAACGACUCUUUGCUAAUCUUGAAAAAUGCACCUUUUGUAUGGAUAAGCUUGUUUUUUGGGGUUUUGUGAUAAGUUCUACAAGAAUCCAUGUGGAUGAGGAGAAGGUAAAGGCAAUUAAAGAAUGGCCUAUCCCUAAAGCUGUUUCUGAGGUAAGGUCUUUCCUUGGGUUAGCCGGUUUCUACCGCAGGUUUGUUCGUAACUUUUCCACAAUUGCUUUGCCUUUGACUGCACUUAUUAAAAAGGAUGUAUCUUUUCAUUGGACAGAUAAGCAAGAAUUAGCAUUUAAUGAACUUAAAGAUAAAUUGUGUAAUGCUCCUAUUCUUGUUUUACCUAAUUUUGAAAAAACCUUUGAGAUUGAAUGUGAUGCUUCUAGUGUAGGUAUAGGUGUCGUCCUCAUGCAAGAUAGUAAACCACUAGCCUACUUUAGUGAGAAACUUGGUGGAGCACAUUUGAACUAUUCGACCUAUGAUAAAGAGUUGUAUGCCUUGGUAAGGGCAUUAGAAGUUUGGCAACAUUACCUUUUACCAAAGGAGUUUGUGAUUCACACUGACCAUGAAUACUUAAGCACUUAAAGGGACAAGGUAAGUUGAACAAGCGACAUGCGAGGUGGGUCGAAUUCAUUGAAUCUUUUCUUAUGUUAUAAGGUAUAAGAAAGGUAAAGAUAAUAUUGUGGCUGAUGCUCUAUCAAGGAGGUACACUUUACUUAGUACUUUGCAUACUAAGUUAUUAGGUUUUGAGUAUCUCAAAGAUUUAUAUGCCACUGAUUCUGAUUUUGCAAGCAUUCAUGACGCAUGUGAACAUGGUGCAUUUCACAAAUUUUAUAAGCAUUAUGGCUAUCUUUUUCGAAAUAAUAGACUAUGCUUACCAAAGUGUUCAAUGCUAGAAUUGUUGGUUCGAGAGGCUCAUAGUGGUAGUCUUAUGAGUCAUUUUGGAGUCACUAAGACUUAUGAUGUUUUACAUGAGCAUUGUUAUUGGCCUAACAUGCGAAAACUUGUUGAGAAAAUUUGCUCUACUUGCAUUACUUGUAAACAAGCUAAAUCCACUGUGAUGCCUCAUGGUCUAUAUACUCCUCUUCCUGUUCCUAGUUCACCUUGGACUGACAUUUUAAUGGAUUUUGUAAUAGGUUUACCAAGGACAAAGCGUGGACGAGAUAGCAUCUUUGUGGUUGUGGAUCAAUUUUCUAAAAUAGCUCAUUUCAUUCCAUGCCAUAAGACUGAUGAUGCAACCCAUGUUGCCGAUCUAUUUUUCCGUCAAGUUGUGAGAUUACAUGGAAUCCCAAGGACUAUCGUUUCCGAUAGAGAUGCAAAAUUUCAUAGUCACUUUUGGAAGGUGUUAUGGGGUAAGUUAGGUACUAAACUACUUUACUCUACUACAUGCCACCCUCAAACUGAUGGUCAAACCGAGGUGGUAAAUCGAGUUUUGGGAUCUUUGCUUAGAGCCAUAAUAGGUAAGAAUGUUAAAUCUUGUGAAGAAUGGAUACCCUAUGUUGAGUUUGCUUAUAAUCGUUCUGUUCAUUCUUCCACAGGUUUUACUCCUUUUGAGAUUGUAUAUGGCUUUAAUCCACUUAUUGUUUUAGAUUUGCUUCCUUUACCUUUGAAUGAGAUUGCUAAUUUAGAUGGUGAAAGGAAAGCUGAUUUAGUGAAAGAGAUUCAUGAGAAGGCUCGUAAAGCCAUUGACAAAAAGAAUGAGUCCAAUGCAUAUCGAGCUAAUAAAGGGCGAAAGCAAGUCUUGUUUGAACUUGGAGAUUGGGUAUGGGUACAUAUGAGGAAGGAACGAUUUCCUUCUAAGAGAAAGAAUAAACUUGAUGCACGAGGGGAUGGACCAUUCCAAGUACUCGAGAAAAUAAAUGACAAUGCUUAUCGCAUUGAUCUUCCUGGUGAGUAUAGUGUUAGUGCUACUUUCAAUGCUUUUGAUCUUUCUCCUUUUGAAUUUGAUGUAGGUUCAGAUUCGAGGAGGAAUCUUCUUGAAGAGGGGGAGAAUGAUACGAGCCAAGGAGGUGACACUCAAUGGGUUGUUUUUCCUAGUGGUCCAAUCACUCAAAGCAAGGCACGACAAUUAAAAUCAAAGAUGAAUGCUUUUGUCCAAGACUUUGUUGCUACAAAUUUAAGUCAUCAUGUUCGUGACGUUGACAAAUACGGGAAUGCAAUUCACUGGACCAAUCUUGGAAUAGUGAAAGCCCAUGAAUUAGUGGAUUAAUCUUUUAUGUAUCUUAUUAUUAUUAUUAUUUACUUAAUUCUCAUUGGUUGGGACACAUCACUUAUGAGUUAAGUAAUUUUAUUAGUUAGGUUAUUAUUUAUUUAUUUUCUUAGAUAAUUUUAAAGAAUGUUAUUAGGAUUCAAUUACUCUUGAAAGAGUUUUAUUAGGAUUCAAUUACUCUUGUAAUUUGCCUAUAAAUAGGCUUGCUUUCUACACAUUGGGGGGAAUAAAAAAAAUAGAGUAUUUGUUUUCUUCCAAAUUUGUGUGAGACAAAUUUUUUAGAGUAGAGUGAUUCUUCUCUUGCUAUUUAGUUUGGAG